GGGGGGGGGGGUCCAACUACAUGUCCCCAUUCAAAUGCAUUGAUCGUCCAAUAAAGAAAGGGGGUUCCAACAUGUCCAACCCUCAGCCCCCCCUUGGAUCCGUGCCUGUGAGGCAUGCUUUAGCUUGCCAUUAAACAAAAAUGUAUACUAGUUGAGUGAUAAUGGACGUCAUACUAAACUCUUCAAUAUAAAAAAAAGAAACUAAAAUAAAAAUCAUACAAAGGUCACAAAGGCCAUAACUUCUGGCUCCUGAAUUAGGAAAAGUGCAAAAUGCAGUGAGGAUAAAAGCCUUUACUGUAAAUUCCUGAAAUUACAAUUAUAUAAAUCAUCUCACAUCUUUGUGCAUUUCUUGAAAUUGGUCAUAUUAAUAAAUGCAUGCAAUAUUUUCAGAAAAUUUCAAUAUAUAGGCUUUUAAAAGUCAAUCUUGUGCAUGAUUAUCAAUGAUUAUACUCGCACAAUUAACACAUGUGGUUCUCAAAACUCAGAGGUGUCUAUGCUAUUUAUGACAACAUUUUAA
This 517-nucleotide long non-coding RNA is filed under the name Mytilus galloprovincialis (Mediterranean mussel). The record is from RNAcentral. Lineage: Eukaryota; Metazoa; Mollusca; Bivalvia; Mytilida; Mytilidae.